Molecule: ribosomal RNA, 32 nt
Filed under: Mentha gattefossei
Lineage: Eukaryota; Viridiplantae; Streptophyta; Magnoliopsida; Lamiales; Lamiaceae
Source: RNAcentral
GUGCUUGGGCGAGAGUAGUACUAGGAUGGGUG